This is a long non-coding RNA of Pyrgilauda ruficollis (rufous-necked snowfinch), 459 nucleotides long. RefSeq lists it as uncharacterized. The transcript has 3 exons. NCBI's taxonomy places the organism in Eukaryota, Metazoa, Chordata, Aves, Passeriformes, Passeridae. The record is from RefSeq and is a predicted model, not a curated record.
GCGCUCUCGGGAUCCACUCUCGGCCUCUGCCCGCGCAGGGCUCGGGGAGUACAGGAGGGGAGCUGCAGCGAGAACUGGAGGAAUUUGUUCACCUUUGUCCAGGGGGAGUGGGACUUCAACAUUUCUCUUCAAAAGACUCUGUUCAAGACUGUUCACCAGGAAAACCCCUAAAAACAACGAGCCAACACAGAAUUAGGGGACCUAGGUGAUGUCUAAGGAUAGGCGCGUAGUCCAGUGCCUGCUUGGAUCCUUUUUGCUUCUCACCCUGACCUGAAAUGAUGUUCACUAAGGAGGGGACCCGAGGUGUUAGACCGAAAAGUAGGAAUCUGCUAAUCUCCCGUGAGGACGCAGUCCCCAGCUCUGCCUGCAGACCAGCGGACAGAGCUGCAUCACCCUCCUCCUCCGUGCCACUCCUGGGAGCAGCGGCAGCAUGGGCACAACCCGUCGAUUUCUCCCCAC